This is a long non-coding RNA of Trematomus bernacchii (emerald rockcod), 295 nucleotides long. RefSeq lists it as uncharacterized. NCBI's taxonomy places the organism in Eukaryota, Metazoa, Chordata, Actinopteri, Perciformes, Nototheniidae. The record is from RefSeq and is a predicted model, not a curated record. The transcript has 3 exons.
CAGCACAGAGUAUGAGGUGCUUCAGCUAAGGAUCUGCUAAUCCAGUGCUUUAAAAAGAGUACACAUCAGGUUAUGAAACAAAGGGAGGAGCGGCAGACAGGUGAGGACAUAAAAGGGAAAAUAUGUAGUCAGACGGCCUGACUCCAUUUCAUACUUCGACAGCAGGAGGAAGAAAACAGGGCUGGAGAAGAUGAGUGAGGAAGAGGACACGUGUUCAGUCUCCAGCUGUCUGUCUCUGAAGAGUGACCGGUCUAAAGAAUUACCUAUAGUCUUCAGUAAUGAACCUGGACCCUCA